CAGAAUGGAAUUUCACUGAUUUAUUGUUUACGCAAUGCUUUUGAAUAUUGUAGGUAUGUCGGUGUACCUACUGUACCUCAUGUGGAAUAAUGAGCUGUGUUUGAACUACGGUGGUAUACAGUCUCACUGCGGUUUCUGACCUGGUAAUUAAGAACGAAGACAAUUAAAGUGGAUGAGCUGAAACAAGUUGUACGUUUGACUGUCGGCUUGGCCCUCGCCAUGGACGUAAUUGACUUGGAAAUAAUAAUUAACCCCCGUAACGACCUGCCACUCCCUUGGUUACUCGAUGCUGCUGACCGACUUUACAAAAGCUCAGGGCUCUUGUACCAGUCAGCUGCACCGAUAAAGGGGUUGGCGCAUCGUCUUGAGCACCAUCUCCAACAACCUCCUAUGUCGCACCCACCGUUCUCUUCGGUUCGCCGCGGUCUGACCUGGCGCUUCCGGCACCCCUUAAGAAAAUCAGAAUGGAUAAGUGGCUCGUUAUAAUCCAGGAGAAAGAAGUCCUCUCGGCGAGAAAACUUCAGGGCGAGAUAGGAGCUGCAAGGGUGAUAAUGAAGGGUUUCGAGUGUAAGAGUGAGGCAGAGAACACACAUAUAUAUAUAUAUAUAUAUAUAUAUAUAAGCAAGGCAGAGCUAUGUAUAGAUAGUUAAGGGUAGUAGUGACAGAGGCCGUCCCACGCUUCUUUCUUACCCUUCCACAAGAACCCCUGGUUGGACACUGGCAGUGGGAAUUUAUUAAAGAGUCGGAAGGGGUCAAGGGAGCGCACUGACUUUAUCAGCCUACAGCCUAAGACCUACAACCGUCGGUUGAUAGCCUACGGAGUAUCAACCUAACCUAUCCUGAACACCUAGAGAGUCUUCGCUCUUUAUGCGAGUAACGUAGCGCACAAGCUGCCUUACCAAAGACAAUACUCGCGACGUUUUCAGAAUUUUUAAACCUCUUC
Molecule: long non-coding RNA, 943 nt
Organism: Cephus cinctus (wheat stem sawfly)
Lineage: Eukaryota; Metazoa; Arthropoda; Insecta; Hymenoptera; Cephidae
Exons: 5
Source: RefSeq, a predicted model, not a curated record